RNAcentral lists this ribosomal RNA (495 nucleotides) under uncultured bacterium. RNAcentral's name for it is "partial 16S ribosomal RNA". It matches the Rfam family "Bacterial small subunit ribosomal RNA", at positions 28 to 507 of the family's 1533-position model. The record is from RNAcentral.
GACGAACGCUGGCGGCGUGCCUAAUACAUGCAAGUAGAACGCUGAAGGAGGAGCUUGCUUCUCUGGAUGAGUUGCGAACGGGUGAGUAACGCGUAGGUAACCUGCCUGGUAGCGGGGGAUAACUAUUGGAAACGAUAGCUAAUACCGCAUAAGAGUAGAUGUCGCAUGACAUUUGCUUAAAAGGUGCAAUUGCAUCACUACCAGAUGGGCCUGCGUUGUAUUAGCUAGUUGGUGAGGUAACGGCUCACCAAGGCAACGAUACAUAGCCGACCUGAGAGGGUGAUCGGCCACACUGGGACUGAGACACGGCCCAGACUCCUACGGGAGGCAGCAGUAGGGAAUCUUCGGCAAUGGACGGAAGUCUGACCGAGCAACGCCGCGUGAGUGAAGAAGGUUUUCGGAUCGUAAAGCUCUGUUGUAAGAGAAGAACGAGUGUGAGAGUGGAAAGUUCACACUGUGACGGUAUCUUACCAGAAAGGGACGGCUAACUACGUG